RNAcentral lists this ribosomal RNA (371 nucleotides) under uncultured eukaryote. Its description in RNAcentral is "partial small subunit ribosomal RNA". The record is from RNAcentral.
UUCUUCCGGUAGCCCUUCCUCCGCUUCAUCUUGAAGACGAUCACCUUCUUUGCUUUGCCGUGUCCCACCACGCUGGCCUCGACCGCUACGUUCUCGACGUGGGGCGUUCCGAUGCGACUGCCGCCCUCUUCCGAGACCAACAGCACCCGAUCCAGCGUGACCUUUUCGCCAGCCUCCGCGUCCAUUCGGGCGACACGAAUCUUGUCUCCCUGCUGAACCCGGAACUGACCGCCGCUAACCUCUACGACUGCAUACAUUUCUUACCAGCCUCCGGUAGACUCUCCAGUGCCACGGACCGCCCCCAAAUGAUUCGGGCGGAAAAAUUUAAGAUUACCACACGCGGCCAGAUCUGUCAAGUUUUAAAUCGGUCU